CCUACGGGUGGCAGCAGUAGGGAAUUUUGCGCAAUGGGCGAAAGCCUGACGCAGCAACACCGCGUGAAUGUUAAGCCCUUCGGGGUGUAAAGUUCUGUCAAUAGGGACGAAUUUUGACUGUACCUAUAAAGGAAGCACCGGCUAACUCCGUGCCAGCAGCCGCGGUAAUACGGGGGGUGCAAGCGUUGUCCGGAAUCAUUGGGCGUAAAGCGUUCGUAGGCGGCAAGGUAAGUCUGAUGUUAAAGCCCGGGGCUCAACUCCGGUUCGGCAUUGGAUACUAUCUAGCUAGAAUGUGGUAGAGGGAAAGGGAAUUCCCGGGGUAGCGGUUGAAUGCGUAGAUAUCAGGAGGGACAUCGGUGGCGGAAGCGCUUUACUGGACCAUUAUUGGCGCUGGGGAACGAAAGCCAAGGGGGCAAAUGGGAAUAGAUACCCUUGUAGUC
This 440-nucleotide ribosomal RNA is filed under the name uncultured bacterium. RNAcentral describes it as "partial 16S ribosomal RNA". It matches the Rfam family "Bacterial small subunit ribosomal RNA", at positions 338 to 795 of the family's 1533-position model. The record is from RNAcentral.